AGGGGUUUAAGUUAAUUAAGACUAGGAGCCUUCAAAGCUCACAACGGGGGUUAAAAUCCCUCAACCCUUG
RNAcentral lists this transfer RNA (70 nucleotides) under Albatrossia pectoralis (giant grenadier). RNAcentral describes it as "tRNA-Trp". It matches the Rfam family "tRNA". Rfam says of the family: Transfer RNA (tRNA) molecules are approximately 80 nucleotides in length. The record is from RNAcentral. Lineage: Eukaryota; Metazoa; Chordata; Actinopteri; Gadiformes; Macrouridae.